Pyrus x bretschneideri (Chinese white pear) is the source of this 4824-nucleotide RNA transcript. It is a transcript of the gene named structural maintenance of chromosomes protein 3-like, with no coding region annotated. NCBI's taxonomy places the organism in Eukaryota, Viridiplantae, Streptophyta, Magnoliopsida, Rosales, Rosaceae. The transcript is spliced from 31 exons. The record is from RefSeq and is a predicted model, not a curated record.
CGAUUUAAUUUCAUUUCAUUUUCGCCUUCCAUUUUCGUUUCACUUUUGCCGCCUUUUAACUUGCCUUCCCUCGUCGAUCUGUGCUACAAGUCACCGGUGAGCGCACACUGCUCAAACUGCGCACCACCCCCUACCCCCGUCUCUCUCUGUGCGACUGUGGAGCAGACAAAUUCUGGAGCAGACAAACUGAAUUGGCAACUUCAACCGAGGUUGCUGAUCUGGUGGUUUCAAUAUGUACAUAAAGCAGGUUAUUAUUGAAGGAUUUAAGAGCUACAGAGAACAAGUUGCUACUGAGGCCUUCAGCCCGAAAGUUAAUUGUGUUGUUGGUGCCAAUGGGUCUGGAAAGACGAACUUCUUCCAUGCGAUCCGGUUUGUACUAAGUGACCUUUUCCAAAACCUUCGGAGCGAGGAUAGGCAUGCUCUACUCCAUGAAGGUGCAGGGCACCAAGUAUUAUCUGCGUUCGUGGAGAUUGUCUUUGAUAAUGCUGACAAUCGAAUCCCGGUUGAUAAGGAGGAAGUGCGCUUGCGAAGAACCAUUGGUUUGAAGAAGGAUGAGUAUUUCUUGGAUGGAAAGCAUAUCACGAAAACGGAAGUUAUGAAUUUACUGGAAAGUGCUGGGUUCUCUCGCUCCAAUCCUUAUUAUGUUGUGCAGCAAGGAAAGAUAGCAUCCUUGACACUGAUGAAAGACUCUGAACGGCUGGAUUUACUGAAAGAAAUUGGUGGUACUCGAGUGUAUGAGGAGAGGCGUCGAGAAAGUUUGAAAAUUAUGCAGGAAACUGGAAACAAAAUAAAACAGAUAGUUCAAGUUGUUCAGUACUUGGAUGAGAGAUUAAAGGAGUUGGAUGAAGAGAAAGAGGAACUAAGACAGUAUCAACAAUUUGACAAGCAGCGGAAAUCUUUGGAAUACACUAUUUAUGACAAGGAACUUCAGGAUGCUCGCCAAAAGUUGGCAGAGGUAGAAGAUGCUAGAAAUAAGGUUUCUGAAACUUCAACAAAGAUGUAUAAUACAGUGCUGGAUGCCCAUGAAAAGUCUAAGGACCUGGACAAGAUUUUGAAGGAUCUGACGAAAGAGCUUCAAGCUUUAAAUAAGGAUAAAGAAACAAUAGAAAUGCGAAGAACAGAAGCAAUAAAGAAGCGGACAGAGCUUCAGCUUGAUGUCAACGAUUUGGAGGAGAAGAAAACUGGAAAUACCCGGGUCAAAGAAGAUGCUAUGAAACAGCUGCAGAGUCUGCAGAAAGAAAUUAAGGAUUCAGAGGAAGAACUUAAGAAAAUAAAUCCUCUGUAUGAUAAUCAAGUCAAGAUGGAAAUGGAGAUAACAAAAGGAAUAAUGGAACGCGAGAAGCAGCUUAGUAUACUGUACCAAAAACAAGGUCGUGCCACCCAGUUUUCAAGUAAAGCUGCUCGUGACAAAUGGCUCCAAAAGGAAAUUGAUGACCUUGAACGAGUUCUUUCUUCAAAUUUGGCACAGGAGCAAAAACUUAAAGAUGAAAUUGCACGGCUUGAUGCUGAGUUGAGUGACAGGGAUGUCUACAUUGAGUCUCGAAGAACUGAGAUUGCUACUAUUGAAUCUCUCAUCUCUCAGUCACAUGAUGGGUUCAGUCAUCACAAGACACAGAGGGACAAGAUGCAGGAUGAGCGCAAGUCCCUGUGGAGGAAAGAAACUGAACUUUCUGCUGAAAUUGAGAAGCUGAGAACAGAAGUUGAAAAGGCUGAAAAGAGCCUUGAUCAUGCAACUCCGGGUGAUGUGAGGAGAGGGCUAAAUUCUGUUCGUAAGAUCUGCAGAGAGUAUAAUAUUCAUGGGGUAUUUGGUCCAAUCAUUGAGUUGCUUGAUUGUGACGAAAAGUUUUUUACAGCUGUUGAAGUAACUGCUGGGAACAGCUUGUUUCACGUUGUGGUUGAAAAUGACGAAAUAUCAACCCAGAUAAUUAGGCACCUUAAUUCAUUGAAAGGUGGACGAGUUACAUUUAUUCCCCUCAAUAGGGUGAAGGCUCCACGGGUAACUUAUCCACAGAAUUCAGAUGUGGUUCCUCUGUUGAAGAAAUUAAAAUUUGCUCCGAACUACACCCCGGCAUUUUCCCAGGUAUUUGCAAGAACGGUUGUUUGUCGAGAUAUGGAUGUGGCUACAAGGGUUGCUCGUAAUGAUGGUCUAGACUGCAUUACUUUGGAAGGUGACCAAGUCAGCAAGAAGGGUGGCAUGACGGGAGGAUUUUAUGACCAUAGACGGUCAAAAUUAAAGUUUAUGCAUAUAAUCAUGCAGAAUACAAAAUCUAUCAACAUGAAGGAAGAAGAGCUGGAGAAAGUAAAGAAAAUGCUUGAAGAGAUAGACAAAAAAAUUACAGAACUUGUAACUGAACAGCAGAAAAUUGAUGCCAAGCGGGCCCAUGAGAAAUCAGAAAUGGAACAACUUAAGCAGGACAUUGCUAAUGCUAAUAAGCAGAAGAAUCUGAUUUCCAAAGCUUGUGGGAAUAAGAAAAAAUCACUGGCGGAUGUGGAGACUCAAAUUACUCAGCUUAGAGCCAGUGUGGCCAUGAAGAGAGCUGAAAUGGGCACAGAUCUCCUUGAUCAUUUAUCUCCAGAGGAGAAGGAUCUUCUCUCAAGAUUAAACCCUGAAAUAGCGGAUCUUAAAGAGAAGCUUGUUUCAUGCAAGACGGAUCGUUUUGAGACUGAAACAAUAAAGGCAGAGCUGGAGACUAAUUUAACCACAAACCUUGAGAGGCGGAGGCAAGAACUAGAGGCCAUAAUAUCUUCUGUGGAGACUGACAAUUAUAACGGUGAAGCUGAAAUUAAGACUCAGGAACUUAAUGAUGCUGAAUUAUUGGUUAAAGAUGCAACAGAGCAGCUCAAAAGAGUUUCUGAAACUAUAGAUAGCAAGUCAAAGCAUCUCAAGAGAAUUAAAGAUGAAAAGACUGCGUUAAAGACUUUGGAAGACAAGUAUGAGAGGACACUUCAGGAUGAAGCCAAAGAGCUAGAGCAACUGUUGAGUAAAAGAAAUAUGUUUCUUGCAAAACAAGAAGAAUACUCAAAGAAAAUCAGGGAAUUAGGUCCAUUGUCAUCGGAUGCUUUUGAAGCGUAUAAGCGCAGGGGCAUCAAAGAGUUGCAUAAAGCGCUGCAUAGAUGCAAUGAACAACUGCAACAGUUUAGUCAUGUCAACAAGAAAGCACUUGAUCAAUAUGUAAAUUUUACAGAGCAACGAGAAGAGCUCCAGAAGAGGCAAGCUGAGCUGAAAGCGGGUGAUCAGAAAAUUGAUGAACUUAUAAAGGUUUUGGAUCAAAGGAAAGAUGAAUCAAUAGAACGUACUUUUAAAGGAGUUGCUAGGCACUUCCGAGAAGUUUUCUCAGAACUUGUGCAAGGUGGCCAUGGGCACCUUGUUAUGAUGAAGAAAAAGGAUGGUCAGCAUGGUGAUGAUGAACAGGAUGAGGAUGGGCCACGUGAAGUGGAUUUGGAGGGAAGAGUGGAAAAAUAUAUUGGUGUAAAAGUGAAGGUUUCUUUCACUGGACAAGGGGAGACUCAGUCCAUGAAGCAGUUGUCUGGGGGUCAGAAAACUGUUGUUGCGCUGACACUUAUUUUUGCCAUCCAGCGAUGUGAUCCUGCCCCAUUUUAUCUUUUUGAUGAAAUAGAUGCAGCACUGGAUCCUCAGUACAGAACUGCUGUUGGAAAUAUGAUCCGACGCCUGGCAGACAUAGCAAACACUCAAUUUAUAACCACAACAUUCCGGCCAGAGCUUGUGAAAGUUUCUGACAAGAUAUAUGCUGUUGAACAUAAAAACAGGGUGAGCCGUGUCAGCGUUGCAUCGAAGGACGAUGCAUUGGACUUCAUAGAGCGUGACCAGUCUCACAAUGCGGAGUAAAGCGUGUAUCAAGAACAGGAAAGACGGCUAGAGCAAUCUGUUUUUCGGUAAAUUCACACUGAGAGGAGUGAGAUGUUGUACGAAGUAGGUUUGCUGGUGUUGGCUCGAUUCUAGAUAUGCUGAAGAACCAUUAGCUUUAUCCAUUGACAAUUUCCUGUAUAAGCGAGCGUUGGUAAUUGCUUGGUAUACACUUCAGUUCCGGCGGCCAUGCUGCCACGAGAGCAUCAACCGACGAAAUUAAUUGCUCUACCACAAAAGGGUGCCCAGGGAUAACGAUAACAACACACUUGACCACGCCACAGAUGUUGAUGAGGGAGAUUAACCUUGGAGCGGCCAUCGGACACCAUGCUAGUUUGUGAGAAUUUCUUAAUGACUUGAUUCUUCUUAUUGAGGAAUAUAUAAUUAGGAAUUUAGCAACCCAAUGCCUCAUUUAACGGGGACGAUUUAUAUGAAAUAGGUGUCACGUGACGUCUCCAACCAAUAAUGAAUGUCAUGUGUAAGGUUUUUCUUGACAUUGCAUUGCAUUAUUGGAUUGAAAAGUCACAGUGACGGUGAACCCGUUCUAUGUAAGUUGCUCUUCUUAUUUAACAAUUACUUACAAGUUUGCCGAAGUUGAGUUAGUGGCGUUAAUAGGUUGAGUUGUAAGUCCAAAGCCAAAGGGAAAGAGCAACAUUCAUAGGGAGCUGAUCUACCCUUUUGAACCAUGUCCUAGCAAGCUUUCCAGUGAAUCCAGAGUCACCAUACAGGACAUCAGCAAUUCCUUGCCCUUCCGUCCCGGGCAGCCAUGAAGCCACGGGAGCAUCGAUCGACGAUACGUAGGGCUCCAUCACUAUCGGCGCAAACUUUGAGCAAUGGGUCUAAGCAGUGCAUGUGCAUGUGCAUUGGGGUAUAUUAUCUAAAGCUAAAUUAGUCUUGCAGUUGGAAGGAAAUCUUAGCAAAUUAAAUGGUUUUUCUGAGAUGAAAGAAAUUGAAAUAAA